Urocitellus parryii (Arctic ground squirrel) is the source of this 2010-nucleotide long non-coding RNA. RefSeq lists it as uncharacterized. The record is from RefSeq and is a predicted model, not a curated record. NCBI's taxonomy places the organism in Eukaryota, Metazoa, Chordata, Mammalia, Rodentia, Sciuridae.
UAUGCCACCGCUCCCAGUUAGACAUUUUUAAGAUUAAUGAUCGAGUUUGUUUCUCUUUUGGCGGUGCUGGGGAUCAAACCCAGGGCCUCAUGCAUGCUAGGCAAGCACUCUACCACUGAGCCCCAGCCCCAGCCCUUCAAAAAGUCUUCACUCGGGACUCUACAAGGACCUCAGCCUGAAGGCUGAUGUUGGGUAGCAACUGUUUAACGUAUGACAACGACCUGCCAAUCCACUAGUAUCAUCUGUCCCCUGUCUGUUGUUGUUGAUUGCUGAGCCGAUGCUCCUGCUGGCUUUGGGGGCUCUUAGCAUGUUGAUCAGGACCUUGCUGAACCUCGACAGAGUGAUAAAUUGCACACUUUUUUCCCCUCUCCCGAUUCUGUGGCUCCUUUGAAAAGACGAUCCCUCUGAUGUGCCCAAGAAAAUUCUCUUUGAUGUUUGAAGUCGGGACACUUGAGCUUUUAAGGAAUUUUAAGCAGAGAAAAUUAGUCUCUGCCCAUUUUGAGGCAAGCGCGGUCUUGCUCCUCACCGCGGACCUUGGCUUCAAGAGACGCUUUGUUCUCUGCCGUGUCGUUUCCGACUCCUGUCAAGGAGUCUAGCUCCCAUAUUCUGAAACAGGAAUAAAUUGUCCCUUGUUAUGUUAAGUAGAAGAAACUAAAGGGUGAACACGUGUGAGAGGUAAAGUGAUUUGGGAAGAGAAAGCCGAUCAGAGAGUGUUCCCAUUGCCAAGGUCAGGUCGGAAGUAGCUAGAGAUUUCUUUCUUUGAUGCUGUCAAAAUGUAGUAGGUUUUGACUGGUCCAAAAGCGGCACUUCCCAGUGUGUUUCCCUGAGACACCAGUUUCAUAAGAUGAGUGACAGGUGGGGAAAAUUCUAUGGUCAAACAGGUUAGCCAUGAUGGCUCGUUAUGAAUCUCCCCCCCGGGGAGAGAGUCCGCUGUGAUUUCCAAGUUUACCCAGGGCUUGGAUGCCCAGUUUCCUGUUAAGGAAAUACUUGUGAGAUCAGAGCCGAAAGGAGCACACUUUGAGAAGGAUUUAUGUYGAAUUAAUUCUUUGGCUUGAGAUAAUAGAAACAUGCCAACCAGUUGGCACGUUUGCGAUACCAGUCAAGGAAGAGACAUAUCUCUCCGUUUAGGACACAAGUACAUAUUUGGGUCAUAGAUACACCUAGAAGUAUAGUCACUUUUUUCUGUAUCUUCAACAUUUCCUAUUUAUAGAUGAUUAAUAUUCUCCAGUUGAGGUCUUUGAAGCAACCUUGGACGUCUCAGUAACAAUUUUAUUUGCAGUGAAUGGAGAAGAGAAAUAGUUCUUGGCCAUCUCCCAUGRCAGGGAGGCUUGGGUACAUCAUUCUAUUUAAACUUUGUGAUAACUUGACUGAUGUAAGUGUCAAUAGCUUCAGUUUGAAAAUGAAGACAGGGAAAAUCAGAGAGGUGAAGUUUGCCUAAGGCCACACAGUUUGUAAGGGCCAGGGGGGUGUCUGGAUCCCGUGCAGUCUGACUUGACAGCCCGUCCACUUUCCUUCAGAGCACUGGGUUCUCUGCCUUUCCCACUGGUCUACUUGAAUUUGUGCCAUAAUUGAGUACGCUGAUAAUUGAAUGUASACGGAAUAUUUUGAACUGAGUUGUAUUUCCCCACAGAUCAGCAUUAGGAUCUCAGAGAAAAUCAUCUUCAACGACGAACAGUGGGUUCGGGGAACGCUAGCUUUUCAUUGAUUGGUGAAAUAAUGCCGGCUCAAACGUCUUGACCCCGGGGAAGGCUACUUUAUUUCUGUGCCUGUUUCCUCCUCUCUAAGAUGGGAGCCGUUCCGGGAGCAGAGAGAGGAUCCAGCAAGGUCGUGAAAUGGGACAAUGACUUUCARGUCCUUCCGGGAGCUGCACUCCACAGUUUGUAGUGGUGAACAGGAUCCAGACCUUUGCCUGAUGGCACACUUGCAGGUGGCGGUGCGGACGAGUGGGUGAGCUCUUGAGGAACACGUUGGGAUCCCAGACGGGCCAGACUGGGGGCUGCUCGGCUUCUU